RNAcentral lists this ribosomal RNA (430 nucleotides) under uncultured bacterium. Its description in RNAcentral is "partial 16S ribosomal RNA". It matches the Rfam family "Bacterial small subunit ribosomal RNA", at positions 29 to 506 of the family's 1533-position model. The record is from RNAcentral.
AACGAACGCUGGCGGCAGGCUUAACACAUGCAAGUCGAACGCCCCGCAAGGGGAGUGGCAGACGGGUGAGUAACGCGUGGGAACAUACCCUUUCCUGCGGAAUAGCUCCGGGAAACUGGAAUUAAUACCGCAUACGCCCUACGGGGGAAAGAUUUAUCGGGGAAGGAUUGGCCCGCGUUGGAUUAGCUAGUUGGUGGGGUAAAGGCCUACCAAGGCGACGAUCCAUAGCUGGUCUGAGAGGAUGAUCAGCCACAUUGGGACUGAGACACGGCCCAAACUCCUACGGGAGGCAGCAGUGGGGAAUAUUGGACAAUGGGCGCAAGCCUGAUCCAGCCAUGCCGCGUGAGUGAUGAAGGCCUUAGGGUUGUAAAGCUCUUUCACCGAUGAAGAUAAUGACGGUAGUCGGAGAAGAAGCCCCGGCGAACUGCGU